RNAcentral lists this transfer RNA (74 nucleotides) under Moniliophthora perniciosa. RNAcentral describes it as "tRNA-OTHER". The record is from RNAcentral. Lineage: Eukaryota; Fungi; Basidiomycota; Agaricomycetes; Agaricales; Marasmiaceae.
AUAGUUAUAGUUAAAUAGGAAUAAUAUUUCUUUAAGAAAAAGGAAAGUUAUCAGUUCGAUUAUGAUUAACCUUC